RNAcentral lists this ribosomal RNA (491 nucleotides) under uncultured bacterium. RNAcentral's name for it is "bacterial SSU rRNA". It matches the Rfam family "Bacterial small subunit ribosomal RNA", at positions 28 to 472 of the family's 1533-position model. The record is from RNAcentral.
GAUGAACGCUGGCGGCGUGCCUAAUACAUGCAAGUCGAACGCAUUGUGGUUGAAAUGAUAUGAAGAACUUGUUCAGAUUUGAUUUUCAACAUUGCAAUGAGUGGCGAACGGGUGAGUAACACGUGGGAAACCUACCUCUUAGCAGGGGAUAACAUUUGGAAACAAAUGCUAAUACCGUAUAAUAAUUAAAACCGCAUGGUUUUAGUUUAAAAGAUGGUCUUGCUAUCACUAAGAGAUGGUCCCGCGGUGUAUUAGUUAGUUGGUGAGGUAAUGGCUCACCAAGACAAUGAUACAUAGCCGAGUUGAGAGACUGACCGGCCACAAUGGGACUGAGACACGGCCCAUACUCCUACGGGAGCAGCAGUAGGGAAUCUUCCACAAUGGACGAAAGUCUGAUGGAGCAACGCCGCGUGUGUGAUGAAGGGUUUCGGACUCGUAAAACACUGUUGUAAAGAGAAGAAUGACAUUGAGAGUAACUGUUCAAUGUGUGA